Molecule: long non-coding RNA, 142 nt
Organism: Pogonomyrmex barbatus (red harvester ant)
Lineage: Eukaryota; Metazoa; Arthropoda; Insecta; Hymenoptera; Formicidae
Source: RefSeq, a predicted model, not a curated record
AUUUUCUGCCGAGGAUGAAAAAAAUGUUAAGGAUACUGAAGAAUUAAAUAUCGUUAUUAUGCGACAUCGUGUUCCGUGAGAGUGGAAAAUACGGGCACAUGUAUCUUACAUGAAAUAAAUACCUAAGAUUGGACGUUGCAUC